This 464-nucleotide ribosomal RNA is filed under the name uncultured bacterium. RNAcentral describes it as "partial 16S ribosomal RNA". It matches the Rfam family "Bacterial small subunit ribosomal RNA", at positions 28 to 507 of the family's 1533-position model. The record is from RNAcentral.
GACGAACGCUGGCGGCGUGCUUAACACAUGCAAGUCGAACGGAAAGGCCCUGCUUUUGUGGGGUGCUCGAGUGGCGAACGGGUGAGUAACACGUGAGUAACCUGCCCUUGACUUUGGGAUAACUUCAGGAAACUGGGGCUAAUACCGGAUAGGAGCUCCUGCUGCAUGGUGGGGGUUGGAAAGUUUCGGCGGUUGGGGAUGGACUCGCGGCCUAUCAGCUUGUUGGUGGGGUAGUGGCUUACCAAGGCUUUGACGGGUAGCCGGCCUGUGAGGGCGACCGGCCAGACGGGGACUGGGACACGGCCCAGACUCCGACGGGAGGCAGCCGCAAGGGAUGUUAGGCAAUGGGCGCAAGACUGACCGGGCAACGCCGCGUGCAGGAAGACGGCGUUCGGGGUGUAAACUGCUUUGGCGAGGGAGGAUAACAGACAGGACCUGGCGAAUCAGCCCCGGCUAACUCUGUG